AGCCCAGAGCCUGAAUCAGUGUGUGUGUUAGUGGAAGCGUCUGGAAAGGCGCGCGAUACAGGGUGACAGCCCCGUACACAAAAAUGCACAUGCUGUGAGCUCGAUGAGUAGGGCGGGACACGUGGUAUCCUGUCUGAAUAUGGGGGGACCAUCCUCCAAGGCUAAAUACUCCUGACUGACCGAUAGUGAACCAGUACCGUGAGGGAAAGGCGAAAAGAACCCCGGCGAGGGGAGUGAAAAAGAACCUGAAACCGUGUACGUACAAGCAGUGGGAGCACGCUUAGGCGUGUGACUGCGUACCUUUUGUAUAAUGGGUCAGCGACUUAUAUUCUGUAGCAAGGUUAACCGAAUAGGGGAGCCGAAGGGAAACCGAGUCUUAACUGGGCGUUAAGUUGCAGGGUAUAGACCCGAAACCCGGUGAUCUAGCCAUGGGCAGGUUGAAGGUUGGGUAACACUAACUGGAGGACCGAACCGACUAAUGUUGAAAAAUUAGCGGAUGACUUGUGGCUGGGGGUGAAAGGCCAAUCAAACCGGGAGAUAGCUGGUUCUCCCCGAAAGCUAUUUAGGUAGCGCCUCGUGAAUUCAUCUCCGGGGGUAGAGCACUGUUUCGGCAAGGGGGUCAUCCCGACUUACCAACCCGAUGCAAACUGCGAAUACCGGAGAAUGUUAUCACGGGAGACACACGGCGGGUGCUAACGUCCGUCGUGAAGAGGGAAACAACCCAGACCGCCAGCUAAGGUCCCAAAGUCAUGGUUAAGUGGGAAACGAUGUGGGAAGGCCCAGACAGCCAGGAUGUUGGCUUAGAAGCAGCCAUCAUUUAAAGAAAGCGUAAUAGCUCACUGGUCGAGUCGGCCUGCGCGGAAGAUGUAACGGGGCUAAACCAUGCACCGAAGCUGCGGCAGCGACGCUGAUGCGUUGUUGGGUAGGGGAGCGUUCUGUAAGCCUGCGAAGGUGUGCUGUGAGGCAUGCUGGAGGUAUCAGAAGUGCGAAUGCUGACAUAAGUAACGAUAAAGCGGGUGAAAAGCCCGCUCGCCGGAAGACCAAGGGUUCCUGUCCAACGUUAAUCGGGGCAGGGUGAGUCGACCCCUAAGGCGAGGCCGAAAGGCGUAGUCGAUGGGAAACAGGUUAAUAUUCCUGUACUUGGUGUUACUGCGAAGGGGGGACGGAGAAGGCUAUGUUGGCCGGGCGACGGUUGUCCCGGUUUAAGCGUGUAGGCUGGUUUUCCAGGCAAAUCCGGAAAAUCAAGGCUGAGGCGUGAUGACGAGGCACUACGGUGCUGAAGCAACAAAUGCCCUGCUUCCAGGAAAAGCCUCUAAGCAUCAGGUAACAUCAAAUCGUACCCCAAACCGACACAGGUGGUCAGGUAGAGAAUACCAAGGCGCUUGAGAGAACUCGGGUGAAGGAACUAGGCAAAAUGGUGCCGUAACUUCGGGAGAAGGCACGCUGAUAUGUAGGUGAAGCGACUUGCUCGUGGAGCUGAAAUCAGUCGAAGAUACCAGCUGGCUGCAACUGUUUAUUAAAAACACAGCACUGUGCAAACACGAAAGUGGACGUAUACGGUGUGACGCCUGCCCGGUGCCGGAAGGUUAAUUGAUGGGGUUAGCGCAAGCGAAGCUCUUGAUCGAAGCCCCGGUAAACGGCGGCCGUAACUAUAACGGUCCUAAGGUAGCGAAAUUCCUUGUCGGGUAAGUUCCGACCUGCACGAAUGGCGUAAUGAUGGCCAGGCUGUCUCCACCCGAGACUCAGUGAAAUUGAACUCGCUGUGAAGAUGCAGUGUACCCGCGGCAAGACGGAAAGACCCCGUGAACCUUUACUAUAGCUUGACACUGAACAUUGAGCCUUGAUGUGUAGGAUAGGUGGGAGGCUUUGAAGUGUGGACGCCAGUCUGCAUGGAGCCGACCUUGAAAUACCACCCUUUAAUGUUUGAUGUUCUAACGUGGACCCGUAAUCCGGGUUGCGGACAGUGUCUGGUGGGUAGUUUGACUGGGGCGGUCUCCUCCUAAAGAGUAACGGAGGAGCACGAAGGUUGGCUAAUCCUGGUCGGACAUCAGGAGGUUAGUGCAAUGGCAUAAGCCAGCUUGACUGCGAGCGUGACGGCGCGAGCAGGUGCGAAAGCAGGUCAUAGUGAUCCGGUGGUUCUGAAUGGAAGGGCCAUCGCUCAACGGAUAAAAGGUACUCCGGGGAUAACAGGCUGAUACCGCCCAAGAGUUCAUAUCGACGGCGGUGUUUGGCACCUCGAUGUCGGCUCAUCACAUCCUGGGGCUGAAGUAGGUCCCAAGGGUAUGGCUGUUCGCCAUUUAAAGUGGUACGCGAGCUGGGUUUAGAACGUCGUGAGACAGUUCGGUCCCUAUCUGCCGUGGGCGCUGGAGAACUGAGGGGGGCUGCUCCUAGUACGAGAGGACCGGAGUGGACGCAUCACUGGUGUUCGGGUUGUCAUGCCAAUGGCACUGCCCGGUAGCUAAAUGCGGAAGAGAUAAGUGCUGAAAGCAUCUAAGCACGAAACUUGCCCCGAGAUGAGUUCUCCCUGACUCCUUGAGAGUCCUGAAGGAACGUUGAAGACGACGACGUUGAUAGGCCGGGUGUGUAAGCGCAGCGAUGCGUUGAGCUAACCGGUACUAAUGAACCGUGAGGCUUAACCUUACAACGCCGAAG
RNAcentral lists this ribosomal RNA (2652 nucleotides) under Escherichia coli. RNAcentral's name for it is "partial 23S ribosomal RNA". It matches the Rfam family "Bacterial large subunit ribosomal RNA", at positions 296 to 2925 of the family's 2925-position model. Lineage: Bacteria; Pseudomonadati; Pseudomonadota; Gammaproteobacteria; Enterobacterales; Enterobacteriaceae. The record is from RNAcentral.